UUACGGGAGGCAGCAGUAGGGAAUAUUGGUCAAUGGAGGCAACUCUGAACCAGCCAUGCCGCGUGCAGGAUGACGGCCCUCUGGGUUGUAAACUGCUUUUAUACGGGAAGAAAAAAUACUACGUGUAGUAUAUUGACGGUACCGUAAGAAUAAGGAUCGGCUAACUCCGUGCCAGCAGCCGCGGUAAUACGGAGGAUCCAAGCGUUGUCCGGAUUUAUUGGGUUUAAAGGGUGCGUAGGCGGAUCUUUAAGUCAGUGGUGAAAGCCUGCAGCUCAACUGUAGAAUUGCCAUUGAAACUGAAGAUCUUGAAUUAGGUUAAAGUAGGCGGAAUGUAUCAUGUAGCGGUGAAAUGCUUAGAUAUGAUACAGAACACCGAUAGCGAAGGCAGCUUGCUGAACCUAUAUUGACGCUGAGGCACGAAAGCGUGGGGAGCGAACAGGAUUAGAUACCCUCGUAC
This 457-nucleotide ribosomal RNA is filed under the name uncultured bacterium. RNAcentral's name for it is "bacterial SSU rRNA". It matches the Rfam family "Bacterial small subunit ribosomal RNA", at positions 339 to 793 of the family's 1533-position model. The record is from RNAcentral.